CAAUAGCGUAUAUUAACGUUGUUGCAGUUAAAAAGCUCGUAGUUGGAUUUCUGGAGGGAGCGUCGGCCCGUAUUUACGAGUGCGUGACGUCUCUGUCCAUCCUUGCGGGAAGGCACGGCAUUGAUUUCUUGUGUCGGAUCGCAUCAUUUACUGUGAAAAAAUUAGAGUGUUCAAAGCAGGCUUUCGCUUGAAUACAUUAGCAUGGAAUAAUAAGAUAGGACUUUGGUGCUAUUUUGUUGGUUGAGCCUAAAGUAAUGAUUAAUAGGGAUAGUUGGGGGCACCUGUAUUGCGUUGUCAGAGGUGAAAUUCUUGGAUUUACGCAAGACAAACAGCUGCGAAAGCGUCUGCCAAGGAUGUUUUCAUUAA
This 366-nucleotide ribosomal RNA is filed under the name uncultured eukaryote. Its description in RNAcentral is "partial 18S ribosomal RNA". It matches the Rfam family "Eukaryotic small subunit ribosomal RNA", at positions 592 to 976 of the family's 1831-position model. The record is from RNAcentral.